UACGUAGGGGGGCAAGCGUUGUCCGGAAUCAUUGGGCGUAAAGCGCGUGUAGGCGGCCUUGUAAGUCCGUUCUGAAAGCCCGGGGCUCAACCCCGGGAGGCGGAUGGAUACUGCAAGGCUCGAGUCCGGAAGAGGCGAGUGGAAUUCCCGGUGUAGCGGUGAAAUGCGCCAGAUAUCGGGGAGGAACACCAAUGGCGAAGGCAGCUCGCUGGGACGGUACUGACGCUGAGACGCGAAAGCGUGGGGAGCAAACAGG
This 256-nucleotide ribosomal RNA is filed under the name uncultured bacterium. RNAcentral's name for it is "partial 16S ribosomal RNA". It matches the Rfam family "Bacterial small subunit ribosomal RNA", at positions 524 to 776 of the family's 1533-position model. The record is from RNAcentral.